AGAAUGAACGUUGGCGGCGUGGAUUAGGCAUGCAAGUCGUACGGGCCGCAAGGCCAGUGGCGCAAGGGUGAGUAAGGCGACGGUAACCAACCCCAUGAUUGGGUAUAGCCGCGGGAAACUGCGGGUAAUCCCCAGCGACGUCCGGGAGGGACAUCCCUUCUUGACCAAAGCUCCGGCGUCGUGGGACGGGCUGUCGUGGUAUUAGGUUGUUGGCGGGGUAACGGCCCACCAAGCCGAUGAUGCCUACCGGGCGUGCGAGCGUGGCCCGGCACACUGGGACUGAGACACUGCCCAGACUCCUACGGGAGGCUGCAGUCGAGAAUCUUCGGCAAUGGGCGCAAGCCUGACCGAGCGACGCCGCGUGGAGGACGAAGGCCUUCGGGUUGUAAACUCCUGUCGAGGGGGAAGAAGGGCCUUGCAAAAGGCCUUGACUGAUCCCGUGGAGGAAGCGACGGGCUAAGUUCGUGCCAGCAGCCGC
This 478-nucleotide ribosomal RNA is filed under the name uncultured bacterium. RNAcentral's name for it is "SSU rRNA". It matches the Rfam family "Bacterial small subunit ribosomal RNA", at positions 26 to 518 of the family's 1533-position model. The record is from RNAcentral.